AGGGCACCACCAGGAGUGGAGCCUGCGGCUUAAUUUGACUCAACACGGGGAAACUCACCCGGCCCGGACACCGGAAGGAUUGACAGAUUGAUAGCUCUUUCUUGAUUCGGUGGAUGGUGAUGCAUGGCCGUUCUUAGUUGGUGGAGCGAUCUGUCUGGUUAAUUCCGAUAACGAACGAGACUCUAGCCUAUUAAAUAGACGUCGGGUUCUCUGCACUCGACGGUCUUCUUAGAGGGACAAGGUGCUUUUAGCACCGCGAAACAGAGCAAUAACAGGUCUGUGAUGCCCUUAGAUGUCCGGGGCCGCACGCGCGCUACACUGAAGGAAGCAGCGUGUAACAACCUUGUUCUAACGAACUGGGUAACCCGUGGAACUUCCUUCAUGAUUGGGAUAGGGGUUUGCAAUUGUGCCCCUUGAACGAGGAAUUCCCAGUAAACACUAGUCAUCAGCUAGUGCUGAUUACGUCCCUGCCCUUUGUACACACCGCCCGUCGCUACUACCGAUUGAAUGGUUUAGUGA
Molecule: ribosomal RNA, 519 nt
Filed under: uncultured eukaryote
Lineage: Eukaryota
Description: SSU rRNA
Rfam family: Eukaryotic small subunit ribosomal RNA
Source: RNAcentral